GAGGGUAUAGCUUAGUGGUAGAGUGCAUGCUUAGCACGCACAAGGUCCUGGGUUAAAUCCCCAGUACUUCCA
RNAcentral lists this transfer RNA (72 nucleotides) under Camelus bactrianus (Bactrian camel). It matches the Rfam family "tRNA". Rfam says of the family: Transfer RNA (tRNA) molecules are approximately 80 nucleotides in length. Their secondary structure includes four short double-helical elements and three loops (D, anti-codon, and T loops). Further hydrogen bonds mediate the characteristic L-shaped molecular structure. tRNAs have two regions of fundamental functional importance: the anti-codon, which is responsible for specific mRNA codon recognition, and the 3' end, to which the tRNAs corresponding amino acid is attached (by aminoacyl-tRNA synthetases). tRNAs cope with the degeneracy of the genetic code in two manners: having more than one tRNA (with a specific anti-codon) for a particular amino acid; and 'wobble' base-pairing, i.e. permitting non-standard base-pairing at the 3rd anti-codon position. The record is from Rfam by way of RNAcentral. Lineage: Eukaryota; Metazoa; Chordata; Mammalia; Artiodactyla; Camelidae. RNAcentral also lists the same sequence under 1 other name.